GAUGAACGCUGGCGGCGUGUCUAAUACAUGCAAGUCGAGCGAACAGACGAGGAGCUUGCUCCUCUGACGUUAGCGGCGGACGGGUGAGUAACACGUGGAUAACCUACCUAUAAGACUGGGAUAACUUCGGGAAACCGGAGCUAAUACCGGAUAAUAUAUUGAACCGCAUGGUUCAAUAGUGAAAGACGGUUUUGCUGUCACUUAUAGAUGGAUCCGCGCCGCAUUAGCUAGUUGGUAAGGUAACGGCUUACCAAGGCGACGAUGCGUAGCCGACCUGAGAGGGUGAUCGGCCACACUGGAACUGAGACACGGUCCAGACUCCUACGGGAGGCAGCAGUAGGGAAUCUUCCGCAAAGGGCGAAAGCCUGACGGAGCAACGCCGCGUGAGUGAUGAAGGUCUUCGGAUCGUAAAACUCUGUUAUUAGGGAAGAACAAAUGUGUAAGUAACUAUGCACGUCUUGACGGUACCUAAUCAGAAAGCCACGGCUAACUACGUG
Molecule: ribosomal RNA, 497 nt
Filed under: uncultured bacterium
Lineage: Bacteria
Description: partial 16S ribosomal RNA
Rfam family: Bacterial small subunit ribosomal RNA
Source: RNAcentral